Molecule: small RNA, 976 nt
Filed under: Pan troglodytes (chimpanzee)
Lineage: Eukaryota; Metazoa; Chordata; Mammalia; Primates; Hominidae
Description: retained intron
Source: RNAcentral
UGAAGACUUAAUUAUCUUAACGUAAUACUGAAAUUAUAGGAGCAUAGGUAUAUUCAUCAUACUAAAGCACAUUUUAAUAUUUUAAUACCUAAUGAAAAGAAAGAGUAUUUGUAAAUGAAAUUCCAGUUAAGUAUUUUGGGAUGUUAAGACAAAAUAUAGUUAUCCUCCAUCCAUUGUUUGACAAGGUAUCAGUUGACUAACACUUGACUUUGCCCCUGUUAAUUAUGAUAGGGUGAAGAUUUCUUUUCUUGCAUUAAUUGUGGUAACUUUGAUUUGCAGGCAUGAACUAAUCACAUUUGUGGUUAAUAUUUUUUCUUCAUAUAGAUAAGAUAUUUUUGUUGAGAUAAAUAUUUUAAAUGCCGCCACACUUUGGUGGAUAUUUUUUUCAUAUCCUCAGACUGAUGAAGUAUUUCUGGAAGCCCAGAUUCAGAAUAUGACAACCUCACCUAUGUUUAUGGAGAAAGUUUCACUGGAGCCAUCUAUUAUGUACAAUGUAACAGAAUUAAAUUCAGUCAGCCAAGCUGGAGAAUGUGUGUCUACGUUUGGGUCAAGAGCAUAUUUGCAACCAAUGGAUACACGCCAGUACUUAUACUGCCUAAAGCCAAAGAAUGAAUUUGCAGAAAAAGCAGGCAUCAUUAAGGGAGUAACAGUAAUUGGAAAAUUGGAUAUAGUAUGGAAAACAAAUCUAGGUGAAAGGGGAAGGUUACAGACCAGCCAACUUCAAAGAAUGGCUCCAGGUUAUGGAGAUGUUAGGUUGUCUUUGGAGGCAAUACCAGAUACCGUAAACCUUGAAGAACCUUUUCAUAUUACCUGUAAAAUAACAAACUGCAGUGAAAGGACUAUGGAUCUGGUUUUGGAAAUGUGCAAUACCAAUUCCAUCCACUGGUGUGGAAUUUCAGGAAGACAGCUGGGAAAGCUGCAUCCAAGUUCUUCGCUCUGUCUUGCCCUUACUCUGCUUUCUUCAGUACAGGGACUG